This 72-nucleotide transfer RNA is filed under the name Deltaproteobacteria bacterium. RNAcentral describes it as "tRNA-Val". It matches the Rfam family "tRNA". From Rfam's summary of the family: Transfer RNA (tRNA) molecules are approximately 80 nucleotides in length. Lineage: Bacteria; Pseudomonadati; Myxococcota; Myxococcia. The record is from RNAcentral.
GGGCGUGUAACUCAGCGGUAGAGUGCCACCCUUACAAGGUGGAGGCCGCAGGUUCGAUCCCUGCCGCGCCCA